Molecule: long non-coding RNA, 1443 nt
Organism: Odocoileus virginianus texanus
Lineage: Eukaryota; Metazoa; Chordata; Mammalia; Artiodactyla; Cervidae
Source: RefSeq, a predicted model, not a curated record
AAAAGCUCUCCCACACUCAUGCUCCGAUUUCUUCUGUUUGGUCAGUAUUUCAACAGGGAGCGGUUUAAAAGCUCUGAAAUGGAAGCGUCGGACCUGACCAGCCAGGGCACGUUAUUCGUGUCCAGGACCGAGCCCGCCGCAGCCGUCGCCCUUCCGCCGCCUCCUCGUGUCCUCCAACUGGAUUUGCAGCAGCAAUGAUGGAAGUUCUUGCAGGGAGGCUACAAACCAUGCCAGCCUUAGCAAGACUAAUACUCUGCUGUUCCAUGGCUUCUAACAAGGCUUGAUGUUGAUUCCCCAUUUUAUCAAAUUCAUCUAUUCCACAGAUACCUGCAACCACAGUAAAAUAAUUCAGACAAAAAUUUUUCCUUUGGUCAAGUUUUAAACCUAACAGGAAAGAAAUUAUUCCACAAUAAAGCAUAUUUCCAUAAGUUUCCAGCAGUUAAAAUUAUGAAGUGUCAUACAGUACAAAAUUUGUGCUUGAUUUACAGCAAAUAAAAUAUUGGUCUUAUUUAACUGUUAUUUAAUUAGCAUUUUCCACAGGCAAAGCACUACAUGUGAGGGUUACAAAAAUGAAGAUAUGAGAAUAAGUCUCAAAAGCUUAAAGAGUUAAAUCUGAACAGAUGAGAUAAGGAUAUACACAUUCAAGAUAGUGUAUUUAACAACUAUAAUAGAUAUGCAUCAUCAUAUGAAUUUUCUGGGGGUGGGGUGGGAUUAAAAGAGGAAGGGGAAUCUGGAAAGGUUUCAAGAAAAAGGUGCUAUAUGAGCUGGGUCUUUUGGGAACAGUGGGCAGCAUGAUUUGGGAAGGAACACAUGGGCUCUAAAGUCAGAAGACUAGAGUGCAGGUCUCAGCAAUACCAGGUGUUAACUAUAGAAGUGUACAGUUAAUUGUACACUUAAACUCUUUAAAUAUGAAGACCCAUCACUGAAUGAAGGCAUUUUAUGUGCCAGAUGUAUUUUACAUCUAAUCCAGAGGUUAUUGGAGGCCCUCUAACAUUAUCUUGUAAUAUUUUUCCUCUCUUCUUCAUACCAUGAUAAUUUGGUGGUCAUGUCCCAAGGGCUUUGCUAUGGUUAAUCCUCUGUAUACCUAUUCUAGGUCAGUGCAGACCUCUCUGGAAUUGAUGGUAUUACUGGAAAUUCUUGAGAUUACUAGUAAUACUAGUAAUAGUAAUACUAUUACUAGUAAUAGUUCUUCAGAGGUGGGGACAGGGUAGGAAUAAAGUCAAGCUACUUCUCUGCCACUUUGCAAAGUUUAAAGCAGGAGCUGGCAAUCUUUUCCUAUAAACGGGCAGAUUUUGAUGUUUUGUGGGCCACAUACAGUCUUGUCACAUAUUCUUGGGUUUUUUGUUUGUUCUUUACAGUCCUUUAAAAUAGCUUGUGCCCACACGCCACAACUACUGAAACCCACAUAUCCUGUGCUCUGCAACGAGAAGCCCUCACACCACA